GUCGGUGAGGCAACCUUUUGGAGCCAGCCGCCUAAGGUGGGACAAAUGAUUGGGGUGAAGUCGUAACAAGGUAGCCGUAUCGGAAGGUGCGGCUGGAUCACCUCCUUU
RNAcentral lists this ribosomal RNA (108 nucleotides) under Shouchella rhizosphaerae. RNAcentral's name for it is "partial 16S ribosomal RNA". It matches the Rfam family "Bacterial small subunit ribosomal RNA", at positions 1426 to 1533 of the family's 1533-position model. Lineage: Bacteria; Bacillati; Bacillota; Bacilli; Caryophanales; Bacillaceae. The record is from RNAcentral.